UACCCACGCUGACUGGACCGUUCAAACAUAAGUAAGGCGGGAACAGUAUUGACUGGACUGUUCAACUGCAAGCAAGGAGGAACCAGCACUGAGUGGACAACAAGUCGGAGGACAGCCAGCUGAAGGACUGCUGGAAAGUGAGGAUAAAAAGGGGAGCCUUGCACCGCUCUCCAUCCUCUCGGGGAUCAUGGCCCAGUGCGUGCGAACCUCUGGAUCUCCUCGCACUUGGAGCUGAAGAGCCAGCUCGCUAGCCCCCUUGCUAAGUGACACAAGGUGACUAUGGGAUCAGAACUCCAGCCGAGAUGCCACCUCACCACCUUGCCUGAACCCCUUAUCAGCUUACUGUCAGACCUGACCACAAAGCCGGACCAGGCCUCUCAGCAGGGGACCUCUCCAACUUCUCGCCUGGCUGUCCACCUGGUAACUUUGAGCCUGCUGCCCAGAGUGACAGCCUGCCCAUGACGUCCUGCCUAUAGUAAAGAUGAUGGCUCAAUUAAUUGAGUCCCAGUCAACCACAUAUGACACCCAGAUGCAGCUUGGACUCCUGGCUUUGCCCUGGCCCAGCUCUGGCUACUGUGGACGUUUGGGGAGUGAACGAGUACAUGGAAGAUCUCUCUCCACCUGAAGCUCUUUCUUUCUCUCAUUGUCUCUCUGCCUUUCAAAUAAAAUGAAAAAAAAAUUGAUAACUUUCUUAAAUAUAAACUCUUGACUGCCAUUGGUUUUCAAGAUUACUUUCGGAUAUGUAUAUGAACUAAAUAUAUCCUUUGUAUCUAACUUUGUUAAAGGUGAUUUUGCAUCCAAAAUAAAUUUAUCUUUUGCAAAUAGUA
Molecule: non-coding RNA, 827 nt
Organism: Oryctolagus cuniculus (rabbit)
Lineage: Eukaryota; Metazoa; Chordata; Mammalia; Lagomorpha; Leporidae
Source: RefSeq, a predicted model, not a curated record